RNAcentral lists this ribosomal RNA (83 nucleotides) under Klebsiella pneumoniae. RNAcentral's name for it is "partial 23S ribosomal RNA". The record is from RNAcentral. Lineage: Bacteria; Pseudomonadati; Pseudomonadota; Gammaproteobacteria; Enterobacterales; Enterobacteriaceae.
GAUAGGCCGGGUGUGUAAGCGCAGAGAUGCGUUGAGCUAACCGGUACUAAUGAACCGUGAGGAUUAACCUUAAAACGCCGAAG